Long non-coding RNA from Halichondria panicea, 1853 nucleotides. RefSeq lists it as uncharacterized. The record is from RefSeq and is a predicted model, not a curated record. Lineage: Eukaryota; Metazoa; Porifera; Demospongiae; Suberitida; Halichondriidae. The transcript has 6 exons.
UCCCGGGAGUACUAAGUAUCGCGCUACCAUCCCAGGAUCAAACCAGGUGCAUAGCUAUAGGUGCUUGUCCAAGUAUCCCGGGAGUACUAAGUAUCACGCUACCAUCCUAGGAUCAACCCGGGAUGACCAGGUGCAUAUAGCUUGUCCAAGUAUCCCGGGAGUACUAAGUAUCGCGCAAACAUCCCAGGAUCAACCCGGGAUGAUCAGGCGUAUAGCUAUAGGUGCUUGUCCAAGUAUCCCGGGAGUACUAAAUAUCACGCUACCAUCCCAGGAUCAACCCGGGUAUAUAGCCACAUGCUUGUCCAAGUAUCCCGGGAGUACUAAGUACCUCGCUAUACCAUCCCAGGAUCAACCCGGGAUGUAGCUAUAUAGGUGCGUAUCCCGGGAGUACUAAGAAUCGCGCUACCAUCCCAGGAUCAACCCGGUAUGACCAGGCGUAUAGCCACAUGCUUGUCCAAGUAUCCCGGGAGUACUAAGUAUCGCGCUACCAUCCCAGGAUCAACCCGGGAUGAUCAGGCGUAUAGCUAUAGGUGCUUGUCCAAGUAUCCCGGGAGUACUAAGUAUCACGCUACCAUCCUAGGAUCAACCCGGGAUGACCAGGUGCAUAUAGCUAUAGUCUAAGGGCCAGAUACUCAGAGUGGCAGCGGUUAUGCACGUGUUGUUCCAUAUGGAAAACCCACAGGCGAUACCACAACAAAUCUCUGAAUCUGCAAUAAAAGCUGCAGAUCGUUUUGUGGACUUCUGUUUGCAACAUGCUGCAUACCUGGGUGGAAGGGGAGAUAUCAUGGCUAUUUCAGAAGUUCAGAAAGGUUAUUGAACGUUGCAUGUAAUACGUAUUAAACUGAGGUUAAAUGCAAAUGCUUUAUUAUAUUAACACCUAUAAGGUGCUACAUUUCUAAACAUUAUAGUAGGUAACACGCCCACACAUGUGUAUGUGACUUCCUUUGGUAUCAUGACUAUGGAACUGUACAUAAACCCUUUUUAUUGAUACCUCGAAUACUUUAUAUCGCAUGCUUAUAACAGCGUUUGUAACUUUUUAUCUUUUAAAGCCUCUGCGCUCAGUGAUGGACAUCACUCGGAGGAUAAGGAACUAGUUAAAUACACAUUGCUAUUACCAGGGAGCACUCUCUACAUCAGCCCACUUCUGGCAGCUAAAAGGUUUAGAAACAAGGGAAACAAAGAAAGUGCCAUCAAUGCCAUUAACCUGUUAGAAAGGGAAGGUUUGGGAGAAGUUCUAACCACAAAAUCCAAGCGAGGCACAAGUUUUAAAUACAAGUUCGUGAAGAUCGCUCUACCAGAUCUGCAAGAGGUAGAGAAAAGGGCUUCAAAGCUUCUGUCAUUCCAAGUGUCCCUCAGUAGAUAUGCGGAAAGUCUUCAAGAGGAAGAAAUAACAUCUGGUAAUGAAAUGAAGAGAGAGGAGGCAUCAAGUGAUGCGGGUAACCGGACGCCCAGGAAAAGUCCAAGAAAAAGGAAGAUCUCAGCCAGCUCAAUAGGCACACCCACAAAGCAUCCAAUGAGGUCACAGGAACAAGAACAAGAGACACCAACAACUCCCGACAGAUAGAGUGCCACUGGGACAUCUUGCCAUGAACUUUGACUGUGCAGCAACAUCUACCCACUUUCAGUCUGCAAGUACAUUUAUCUUAAUUGUUGUGUUGAUAGUCUGUUAGUUGUAUAUACGCAUAAUUAUGUUGAUUCUUGUAAUAAAUUAUUGUGCUUGCACAAUACCACAUUAAUUAUACCAGGAGCAUCCCGGGAGACUUGGACAAGCACGUGGCUAUAUGCCUGAUCAUCCCGGGUUGAUCCUGGGAUGGUAGCGCGAUACUUAGUACUCCCGGGAUACUUGGACAAAC